UACGAAGGGGGCUAGCGUUGCUCGGAAUGACUGGGCGUAAAGGGCGCGUAGGCGGCUUGUAUAGUCGGAUGUGAAAUUCCUGGGCUUAACCUGGGGGCUGCAUACGAGACGUAUGGGCUUGAGUGCGGAAGAGGGUCGUGGAAUUCCCAGUGUAGAGGUGAAAUUCGUAGAUAUUCGGAAGAACACCAGUGGCGAAGGCGGCUCACUGGCCCGGUACUGACGCUGAGGUGCGAAAGCGUGGGGAGCAAACAGG
RNAcentral lists this ribosomal RNA (253 nucleotides) under uncultured bacterium. Its description in RNAcentral is "partial 16S ribosomal RNA". It matches the Rfam family "Bacterial small subunit ribosomal RNA", at positions 524 to 776 of the family's 1533-position model. The record is from RNAcentral.